Molecule: ribosomal RNA, 257 nt
Filed under: uncultured bacterium
Lineage: Bacteria
Description: partial 16S ribosomal RNA
Rfam family: Bacterial small subunit ribosomal RNA
Source: RNAcentral
UACGUAGGGUGCAAGCGUUAAUCGGAAUUACUGGGGCGUAAAGCGUGCGCAGGCGGUUAUGUAAGACAGUUGUGAAAUCCCCGGGCUCAACCUGGGAACUGCAUCUGUGACUGCAUAGCUAGAGUACGGUAGAGGGGGAUGGAAUUCCGCGUGUAGCAGUGAAAUGCGUAGAUAUGCGGAGGAACACCGAUGGCGAAGGCAAUCCCCCUGGACCUGUACUGACGCUCAUGCACGAAAGCGUGGGGGAGCAAACAGGG